GGACGAACGCUGGCGGCGUGCUUAACCCAUGCAAGUCGAACGGAAAGGCCCUGCUUUUGUGGGGUGCUCGAGUGGCGAACGGGUGAGUAACACGUGAGUAACCUGCCCUUGACUUUGGGAUAACUUCAGGAAACUGGGGCUAAUACCGGAUAGGAGCUCCUGCUGCAUGGUGGGGGUUGGAAAGUUUCGGCGGUUGGGGAUGGACUCGCGGCUUAUCAGCUUGUUGGUGGGGUAGUGGCUUACCAAGGCUUUGACGGGUAGCCGGCCUGAGAGGGUGACCGGCCACAUUGGGACUGAGAUACGGCCCAGACUCCUACGGGAGGCAGCAGUGGGGAAUAUUGCACAAUGGGCGGAAGCCUGAUGCAGCAACGCCGCGUGCGGGAUGACGGCCUUCAGGUUGUAAACCGCUUUCGCCUGUGACGAAGCGUGAGUGACGGUAAUGGGUAAAGAAGCACCGGCUAACUACGUG
Molecule: ribosomal RNA, 469 nt
Filed under: uncultured bacterium
Lineage: Bacteria
Description: partial 16S ribosomal RNA
Rfam family: Bacterial small subunit ribosomal RNA
Source: RNAcentral